CAGAGAUGGAUUUGUGCCUUCGGGAACUGUGAGACAGGUGCUGCAUGGCUGUCGUCAGCUCGUGUUGUGAAAUGUUGGGUUAAGUCCCGCAACGAGCGCAACCCUUAUCCUUUGUUGCCAGCGAUUAGGUCGGGAACUCAAAGGAGACUGCCAGUGAUAAACUGGAGGAAGGUGGGGAUGACGUCAAGUCAUCAUGGCCCUUACGACCAGGGCUACACACGUGCUACAAUGGCGCAUACAAAGAGAAGCGACCUCGCGAGAGCAAGCGGACCUCAUAAAGUGCGUCGUAGUCCGGAUUGGAGUCUGCAACUCGACUCCAUGAAGUCGGAAUCGCUAGUAAUCGUGGAUCAGAAUGCCACGGUGAAUACGUUCCCGGGCCUUGUACACACCGCCCGUCACACCAUGGGAGUGGGUUGCAAAAGAAGUAGGUAGCUUAACCUUCGGGAGGGCGCUUACCACUUUGUGAUUCAUGACUGGGGUGAAGUCGUAACAAGGUAACCGUAGGGGAACCUGC
This 514-nucleotide ribosomal RNA is filed under the name Salmonella enterica subsp. enterica serovar Agona. RNAcentral describes it as "partial 16S ribosomal RNA". It matches the Rfam family "Bacterial small subunit ribosomal RNA", at positions 1001 to 1515 of the family's 1533-position model. RNAcentral also lists the same sequence under 1 other name. Lineage: Bacteria; Pseudomonadati; Pseudomonadota; Gammaproteobacteria; Enterobacterales; Enterobacteriaceae. The record is from RNAcentral.